AGUGAACGCUGGCGGUAGGCCUAACACAUGCAAGUCGAACGGCAGCACAGUAAGAGCUUGCUCUUACGGGUGGCGAGUGGCGGACGGGUGAGGAAUACAUCGGAAUCUACUUUUUCGUGGGGGUUAACGUAGGGAAACUUACGCUAAUACCGCAUACGACCUACGGGUGAAAGCAGGGGAUCUUCGGACCUUGCGCGAUUGAAUGAGCCGAUGUCGGGUUAGCUAGUUGGCGGGGUAAAGGCCCACCAAGGCGACGAUCCGUAGCUGGUCUGAGAGGAGGAUCAGCCACACGGGAACGGAGACACGGUCCAGAGUCCUACGGGAGGGAGCAGUGGGGAAUAUUGGACAAUGGGCGGAAGCCUUAUCCAGCCAUACCGCGUGGGUGAAGAAGGCCUUCGGGUUGUAAAGCCCUUUUGUUGGGAAAGAAAAGCAGCAGGUUAAUACCCCGCUGUUCUGACGGUACCCAAAGAAUAAGCACCGGCUAACUUCGUG
This 492-nucleotide ribosomal RNA is filed under the name uncultured bacterium. RNAcentral describes it as "partial 16S ribosomal RNA". It matches the Rfam family "Bacterial small subunit ribosomal RNA", at positions 29 to 507 of the family's 1533-position model. The record is from RNAcentral.